Molecule: unclassified non-coding RNA, 1864 nt
Filed under: Daphnia pulex (common water flea)
Lineage: Eukaryota; Metazoa; Arthropoda; Branchiopoda; Diplostraca; Daphniidae
Description: elongation factor Tu, mitochondrial-like, transcript variant X1
Source: RNAcentral
AACAACCGCCUGAAGGAAUAAUAAAUUUUACAAUGUUGGGCAGAUGCAGACGAAUUAUGGGUUGAUCGAAAAAUAGAAAAGAAAAACAUUGAAAAUGGUGGCUACUACUGUUGUACGCAAAAUGUGUUCAUGUAGUAUACGAUUACUACCUUUAUUGAGAUCACAUUCUUUGCUAAGAACGCCGAUGCUAUCGCGAUUAUUAAUUCAAAGAUUGACAUCAUCAUCACCUCAAUUCAGCAAAACUGAAGCCCAUAAUGCUCAGUCUAGCAACUUACCUCAUGCCAAUAUUGGCACCAUUGGCCAUGUAGAUCAUGGAAAGACAACACUGACUGCGGCUAUCACCAAAGUCUUGCAGAAGGAUGGGUUGGCCAAGUAUGUGUCAUACGAUGCGAUUGACAAAGCACCAGAAGAAAAGGCACGAGGCAUUACAAUCAACAUCGCUCACGUGGAAUAUUCCACUAAAAAUAGACACUACGCUCAUACAGACUGUCCUGGCCAUGCCGACUUUAUCAAAAACAUGAUUUCUGGAACUUCCCAAAUGGAUGGAGCCAUCGUGGUAGUUGCUGCGACAGACGGCCAGAUGCCUCAAACUAGAGAGCACCUUUUACUUGCGAAACAGGUUGGCGUGAAGCAUCUAGUAGUGUUUAUCAAUAAAGCUGAUAUAGCUGACAGCGAAAUGACCGAAUUGGUGGAGAUCGAAAUGCGGGAAUUAAUUUCCGAUUUCGGCUUCGACGGCAUAGCAACUCCAGUAAUUUGCGGCUCAGCUUUGUUGGCAUUGAAAGGCGAUGAGAGUAGAAUGGGCGUCCCAUCCAUUAGGAGACUACUAGCAGCCAUCGACGAAUAUGUUCCUACACCUCAAAGAGACGUCACAUCACCGUUCUGGAUGGCAAUUGACAGCGCAUUCACCGUACCUGGCCGAGGGACUGUGGUCACGGGAACUAUAAAGAAGGGAACGCUGAAGAAAGGUGAUGAAACCGAACUCUUGGGGCAUAAUUCAGCCAUCAAAACAGUGGUGACGGACGUCCAGGUGUUUCGGAAGUCAGUGCCCUUUGCAGAAGCUGGUGAAAACGUUGGUCUCUUACUGCGCUCCAUCAAACUGGAUCGGGUCCAGCGAGGUAUGAUGCUGGUGGCCGCCCAUAGUGCAACAAUUGGCAAUCGUUACCAAGCUCAGCUGUACCUGUUAACGCGAGGCGAAGGAGGCCGUAGCCGUCCGGUCAUCUCAGGCUACAUUCAACAAAUCUUUAGUGCAACAUGGAAUUUAGCUGUGCGGGUGGAUAUGCCGAGUGACAAAGACAUGCUUAUGCCAGGAGAUCACUCCGUCGUCAACCUCACCUUGCUCAAGCGAAUGGCCGUCGAACCCGGACAAACUUUCACGAUCAGAGAAAACAAUUACAAUGUUGCGACCGGCAUCAUCACCAAGAAAUUGAGUGAUGCCAAUUUAGUUAAAGGAGAUUCUCUGGACAAAAUAACUGUGGUCGACUAAUUGUCUUGGGUUAUAUAGUUCUUCGAGCAGGGAUCGUCGCCUUUAUUACGAGCCAUGAAUUAUUUUUUUAUAGUUCUUUGUGUUAUCCGGUAUAACCUAACCUUGCGUUAUGUAAUAGAAUAUCAAGAUUUAAUAAUGAAAGUCAGUACAACGACCCUGCUUCACUCGGCUACACUCAGCAAAUCGGAGGGGAAGUUGAUGCCUUAGGUUUGGAUCCAACAAUAAUUUUUAUUUAUUUUGUCAAUGGUCACAGAAAUUUUUCCACAAGUUCAAUCAAAUCAAGUUGCGACAUAGUUAGGUAUGACAGCUAUUGAUGAUUACAUUAAAACAUAGCCAUUAUGUAACGUUGCAGUGAAUUACAUUAAUAUUGCUUCAAAAUAA